Small RNA from Marvinbryantia formatexigens DSM 14469, 168 nucleotides. It matches the Rfam family "Clostridiales-1 RNA". NCBI's taxonomy places the organism in Bacteria, Bacillati, Bacillota, Clostridia, Lachnospirales, Lachnospiraceae. The record is from Rfam.
UGAUGCCAGGGUCAAAAGGUCUGAGCUCACAUGAGCUUGCUCAUAAGUGGGCGUAAGACCUUGGGACCCGCCCCGAUAUGAGCAUAAAAGUGGGAUGUAUAUCCCACGAUAUGCGAAUAGCGGGUAGGAUUGUGGAAGUGCGAAGCACGUAACAAUCCGUAGGCAUCA